AAGACUAUAGACCUGCGGAGUACCUGCGGAAGGAUCAUUACCGAGUUAGGGUUCCUCUCACGGGCCCGACCUCCCAACCCUGUGUCUAUCACACCUUGUCGUUGCUUCGGUGGACCGGUUCGGGGACUUUUGUUUCUGGCCGCCGGGGGUGUUUUUCACCCCGGGAGAGCGUCCGCCGAUGGCCCAACCACAACUUCUUUGUUCUAAACCUGUCGUCUAAAUCAAGCUUGAUAAUAAUCA
This 240-nucleotide unclassified non-coding RNA is filed under the name soil metagenome. RNAcentral's name for it is "partial contains 5.8S ribosomal RNA, internal transcribed spacer 2, and large subunit ribosomal RNA". The record is from RNAcentral.